AUUGAACGCUGGCGGCAUGCCUUACACAUGCAAGUCGAACGGUAACAGGUCUUCGGAUGCUGACGAGUGGCGAACGGGUGAGUAAUACAUCGGAACGUGCCUAGUAGUGGGGGAUAACUACUCGAAAGAGUGGCUAAUACCGCAUGAGAUCUACGGAUGAAAGCAGGGGAUCGCAAGACCUUGUGCUACUAGAGCGGCCGAUGGCAGAUUAGGUAGUUGGUGGGAUAAAAGCUUACCAAGCCGACGACCUGUAGCUGGUCUGAGAGGACGAUCGGCCACACUGGGACUGAGACACGGCCCAGACUCCUGCGGGAGGCAGCAGUGGGGAAUUUUGGACAAUGGGCGAAAGCCUGAUCCAGCAAUGCCGCGUGCAGGAUGAAGGCCUUCGGGUUGUAAACUGCUUUUGUACGGAACGAAAAGCCCCGGGUUAAUACCCUGGGGUCAUGACGGUACCGUAAGAAUAAGCACCGGCUAACUACGUGCUAGCCGCCGCAGUAA
RNAcentral lists this ribosomal RNA (498 nucleotides) under uncultured bacterium. Its description in RNAcentral is "partial 16S ribosomal RNA". It matches the Rfam family "Bacterial small subunit ribosomal RNA", at positions 30 to 523 of the family's 1533-position model. The record is from RNAcentral.